UGUUGUUGGUUGUGUCGUUUCCAAUCUAAAAUCAAUGAGGAAAAAUAAAUGUGAAUAAAAGACUUUCAAAUUGAAAAAAUUGCAGAAUGGACAAUGAUAAUGUUGUCAAAUGGAUGAUAUUAUUGAUACCUCGGAUACAGGCGUUGAGGAAGAUGCUGAUGAAUUUGCAGGAGAACGAUGUAAGAGUCUGUUGAUGUACUCCAUAACAACAACGUGUUUAUCAGCAAGCACA
This is a long non-coding RNA of Polistes dominula (European paper wasp), 232 nucleotides long. Lineage: Eukaryota; Metazoa; Arthropoda; Insecta; Hymenoptera; Vespidae. The record is from RefSeq and is a predicted model, not a curated record.